GAUCUGUUUGAAAGGUCCUUUUGGAUCGCUAGAGGAUGGUCUUGCGGCGUAUUAGCUUGUUGGUAGGGUAGAAGCCUACCAAGGCAAUGAUGCGUAGCCGAGUUGAGAGACUGGCCGGCCACAUUGGGACUGAGACACUGCCCAAACUCCUACGGGAGGCUGCAGUAGGGAAUUUUCCGCAAUGCACGAAAGUGUGACGGAGCGACGCCGCGUGUGUGAUGAAGGCUUUCGGGUCGUAAAGCACUGUUGUAAGGGAAGAAUAACUGAAUUCAGAGAAAGUUUUCAGCUUGACGGUACCUUACCAGAAAGGGAUGGCUAAAUACGUGCCAGCAGCCGCGGUAAUACGUAUGUCCCGAGCGUUAUCCGGAUUUAUUGGGCGUAAAGCGAGCGCAGACGGUUUAUUAAGUCUGAUGUGAAAUCCCGAGGCCCAACCUCGGAACUGCAUUGGAAACUGAUUUACUUGAGUGCGAUAGAGGCAAGUGGAACUCCAUGUGUAGCGGUGAAAUGCGUAGAUAUGUGGAAGAACACCAGUGGCGAAAGCGGCUUGCUAGAUCGUAACUGACGUUGAGGCUCGAAAGUAUGGGUAGCAAACGGGAUUAGAUACCCCGGUAGUCCAUACCGUAAACGAUGGGUGCUAGUUGUUAAGAGGUUUCCGCCUCCUAGUGACGUAG
Molecule: ribosomal RNA, 671 nt
Filed under: Oenococcus oeni
Lineage: Bacteria; Bacillati; Bacillota; Bacilli; Lactobacillales; Lactobacillaceae
Description: bacterial SSU rRNA
Rfam family: Bacterial small subunit ribosomal RNA
Source: RNAcentral